Molecule: ribosomal RNA, 468 nt
Filed under: uncultured bacterium
Lineage: Bacteria
Description: partial 16S ribosomal RNA
Rfam family: Bacterial small subunit ribosomal RNA
Source: RNAcentral
GACGAACGCUGGCGGCGUGCUUAACACAUGCAAGUCGAACGGAAAGGCCCUGCUUUUGUGGGGUGCUCGAGUGGCGAACGGGUGAGUAACACGUGAGUAACCUGCCCUUGACUUUGGGAUAACUUCAGGAAACUGGGGCUAAUACCGGAUAGGAGCUCCUGCUGCAUGGUGGGGGUUGGAAAGUUUCGGCGGUUGGGGAUGGACUCGCGGCUUAUCAGCUUGGUGGUGGGGUAGUGGCUUACCAAGGCUUUGACGGGUAGCCGGCCUGAGAGGGGGACCGGCCACAUUGGGACUAAGAUACGGCCCAGACGCCUACGGGAGGCAUCAGUGGGGAAUGUUGCACAAUGGGCGGAAGCCUGAUGCAGACGCGCCGCGUGCGGGAUGACUGCCUUCGGGUUGUAAACCGCUUUCGCCUGCGACGAAGCGUGAGUGACGGUAAUGGGUAAAGAAGCACCGGCUAACUACGUG